Paramuricea clavata is the source of this 531-nucleotide non-coding RNA. NCBI's taxonomy places the organism in Eukaryota, Metazoa, Cnidaria, Anthozoa, Malacalcyonacea, Plexauridae. The record is from the annotation of a GenBank genome assembly.
CUGUUAUGAUAUUGCCUAAUGCAGGGCCCUUUUAAAAAUUCAUCCGUGAAAGUUUAUUCAGAAUGACAACGUCGUUUUUGUUUUGCUUGAAGAAUUUCUUUGCUUCAUCAAAAGCGGUGCCCUGCAGUUCGCGUCGUGUUUCCAAAGCAAUCUAUUAUUGGCUUUAUUGCUGGCAAUUCCAUAUUUCCACUAUCCACUUAACCCGAUUACAACUAUUGAGAUCAGUUAUUAAGAAACUUGCCCGCGCUUUCUGUUUCAGCGGUUUUCUUCUUUAAUGUCUUUAUUUAUAAUUAAUAUUUAGAAGCAGCUGUGUAUUUACUAUUUUAUAUAUAGAAACUUUUCUCGUUUGGAAAAGGUUUUUCAGCUAGAUUUCUUGUGCAUUUUGUUGGAUAUAAACUUCUGUGGAGAAGACAUAAAAAGUCGAAGAAAUAUCUUAGAUCUUAAGUGAGUAAAUUUAUUUGAAAUUAAGGUAAUCAUUCCAUGUUUCGCACACCAAUAUAGUAAACGUUAUGUAAUGGAUAUUAUAUAGUG